AUGCCGCUGCCGCUGGCGUGCCGCACCCACGGUGGCAACGCCUCAGCCCCGCUGACCAGCCUCCCGGACGACCUCGUCGAGGAGAUCUUCCUCCGCCUGCCCACGGCCACCGACCUCGCCCGCGCAUCCACGGCCUGUACCUCCUUCCGCCGCAUCAUUGCCGGCCACUUCUUCCUCCGCCGCAUCAUUGCCGGCCACUUCUUCCUCCGCCGCUUCCGCGCCCUCCACCCGCCGCCUCUCCUGGGCGUACUCGCGUACGACUCAGCCGAGCGGAAGAACCUCUCGGUCGCCUUCCUCCCAGCCCAGCCGCCCCACCCCUCCGCCGCCGCGGCCGCCUUCACCCUCGCCGCCGCCGACUUCUCCUGCUCAUUCCUACCCUCCCCAGAGCUCUGGAGUACCUGCGACUUCGGCGACGGCCGCGCCCUCCUCUCCAAGCAGGGGAUUCACUGGCCGACCUCGCAGUAUGCGACCCGCUGCACCGACACUACCUGA
Molecule: ribosomal RNA, 492 nt
Filed under: Triticum aestivum (bread wheat)
Lineage: Eukaryota; Viridiplantae; Streptophyta; Magnoliopsida; Poales; Poaceae
Description: partial small subunit ribosomal RNA
Source: RNAcentral